GCUCAGAAACUUACAUGAAUUGACGGGGCCCGCACAAGCGGUGGAGCAUGUGGUUUAAUUCGAUGAUACGCGAGGAACCUUACCUGGGCUCAAAUGUAUGUUGACGUAUUCUGAAAGGGAUACUUCUUCGGACAAUAUACAAGGUGCUGCAUGGUUGUCGUCAGCUCGUGCCGUGAGGUGUCGGGUUAAGUCCCAUAACGAGCGCAACCCCUAUCAUUAGUUGCCAUCAGGUCAAGCUGGGGACUCUAAUGAAACUGCCUACGCAAGUAGUGAGGAAGGUGGGGAUGACGUCAAAUCAGCACGGCCCUUACGUCCAGGGCUACACACGUGCUACAAUGGCCGGCACAACGGGAAGCGAGUUCGCGAGGACAAGCGGAUCCCUUAAAGCCGGUCGCAGUUCGGAUUGAAGUCUGCAACUCGACUUCAUGAAGCUGGAAUCGCUAGUAAUCGUGGAUCAGCCAAGCCGCGGUGAAUACGUUCCCGGGCCUU
RNAcentral lists this ribosomal RNA (489 nucleotides) under uncultured Sphingobacteriales bacterium. RNAcentral describes it as "bacterial SSU rRNA". It matches the Rfam family "Bacterial small subunit ribosomal RNA", at positions 891 to 1382 of the family's 1533-position model. Lineage: Bacteria; Pseudomonadati; Bacteroidota; Sphingobacteriia; Sphingobacteriales. The record is from RNAcentral.